RNAcentral lists this long non-coding RNA (1011 nucleotides) under Heterocephalus glaber (naked mole-rat). Its description in RNAcentral is "lncRNA (ENSHGLG00000033419.1)". Lineage: Eukaryota; Metazoa; Chordata; Mammalia; Rodentia; Bathyergidae. The record is from RNAcentral.
GGCGGGGUGGGGCGGGGGCGGCCCAGGCCAGCACUCUGGACUCACAGUCGUGGCUGCCUCUUGCUCCGCCAGGGCCACCCGCCCAGGAGAAGCGGGAUUCUUCCGUGGAGCUGGCAAAGCGACCCUGGGAGAGGACCCUGUCUGGUACGAUCCCCACCACCACCACCGUUCAUCCGGUGCUGCCCAAUCCCCAGUACCACGUAUUUCUGCUGUGCUGGUAACCAAGUGAGAAAAUGAAGAUUUAAACCGGCUCAUUGUUCAAGGCCAGCCUGGACUACAUGGUGAGGCCCUGUCUCAAAAAAAAAGUUCCAGAGUCCAGAAGUUCAGAAUCGGUAUCAUCACUGCGCAGAAGUCAGAUAUCAUCAGGCUCCAGGGGAGAAUCGUUUCCUCACCUUGCCCCCACCGGGCUUCCGGGGUCUGCGGCGGUUCAUCACUCCAGACAUCAAAGCCAGCAUCUUCAAAUCACUCUGCUCUGCCUUCAUGUUGCCUUCGCCUCUGUGUCACACCUCACUCUGCUUCUCUCUGACAAGGACACUGUGAUGCUACUUAGAUCCCACCUGGGGAUCUAAUCCAAUGGCAAAAAAGAUUCACUUAUCUGCUAGCUGCCCUUCCAGGCCUUGUGGAAUAGGAUCUGGAAGCAGAAUAGCAGUGUGAGAGAGAAGAGCGCAGCAGGGCUGAGGCCUGGUGAGAGCGCUCAUCCAAGGGACUCAGCAGCCCUGCUGGGCUUUAGGGGUGUGGGAUGGACACUUAGGACACUCACUGGAUGCUGUUCUAGGAGAGGGGUCAGCAAAUACAGACCACAGAGUGGCUGCCUGGUUUUGUAAAUAAAAGUCUCACUGGAAGACAGAUGUGCUGUUUGCUUCCAGACUGUGUCUAUGGUUUCUUUUGAGCAGAGUUGAAUAAACGGAGUUGAGAAGCUGUAACUACUGAAACCAUGUGACCCACAAAUCCAAAAUAUCUACUGUCUCUCCUUCAAGGGAAAGUUUCCCUAACGCUGCACGAGGGAAGGAG